GACGAACGCUGGCGGCGUGCCUAAUACAUGCAAGUCGAACGAAGCUUUUUUAACUGGUGCUUGCACCGACUUAAACAACUGAGUGGCGAACGGGUGAGUAACACGUGGGUAACCUGCCCCAAAGCGGGGGAUAACAUUUGGAAACAGAUGCUAAUACCGCAUAACCACAGAAACCACAUGGUUUCUGUGUCAAAGAUGGUUUCGGCUAUCACUUUGGGAUGGACCCGCGGCGUAUUAGCUAGUUGGUAAGGUAAUGGCUUACCAAGGCAAUGAUACGUAGCCGAACUGAGAGGUUGAUCGGCCGCAUUGGGACUGAGACACGGCCCAAACUCCUACGGGAGGCAGCAGUAGGGAAUCUUCUACAAUGGACGAAAGUCUGAUGGAGCAACGCCGCGUGAGUGAAGAAGGUUUUCGGAUCGUAAAACUCUGUUGUCAGAGAAGAACGUGUGCGAGAGUAACUGUUCGUGCAGUGACGGUAUCUGGCCAGAAAGCCACGGCUAACUACGUGCCAGCAGCCGCCGUAA
RNAcentral lists this ribosomal RNA (524 nucleotides) under uncultured bacterium. Its description in RNAcentral is "partial 16S ribosomal RNA". It matches the Rfam family "Bacterial small subunit ribosomal RNA", at positions 28 to 523 of the family's 1533-position model. The record is from RNAcentral.